This 440-nucleotide ribosomal RNA is filed under the name uncultured bacterium. RNAcentral describes it as "partial 16S ribosomal RNA". It matches the Rfam family "Bacterial small subunit ribosomal RNA", at positions 338 to 795 of the family's 1533-position model. The record is from RNAcentral.
CCUACGGGAGGCAGCAGUGGGGAAUAUUGGACAAUGGACGGAACUCUGAACCAGCCAUGCCGCGUGAGUGAAGACGUAUCUCGGUAUGUUAAGCUGCUUUUGUACGGAAGUAAACGCAGGUACGUGUCUAUGUCUCCCCGUAUCAUAAGGUGCCAGCAGCACUGGCUCUACGCCGGCAGCAAGCGUAAUCCGGAUUUACGGGGUGUAAAGGGAGUGUAGGCGGUUUAACAAGUCCGUUGUGAAAGGUCGGGGUUCAACCUCAAAACUGCAUUGGAAACUGUUGAACUGGAGUACAGGAGAGGUAGGCGGAAUGCGUGGUGUAGCGGUGAAAUGCGUAGAUAUUAGGAAGAACACCGGUGGCGAAGGCAGCUUACUGGACUGUAACUGACAUUGAGGCUCGAAAGCGUGGGGAGCAAACAGGAGUAGAUACCCUGGUAGUC